UAGGUGGGUAUACAUAGGUGGGUAGGCAAGUAAGCAGAUAAAAAGGUAUACAGGUAGGUGCCGUACAUGGGUGAAAAAAAAGGUGGGUGAGUAGAUUGGUGGUAGGUUGAAACAAGUGAAUAAGUGGGUAAGGAGGUGGGUAGGUAAUUAGGUGGAUAAGUUAAGUAGGUGGGUAGGUUAAGUGGGUGGGUAGGUAAGUAGGUGGGUAGGUUAAGUAGGUGGGUAGGUUAAGUAGGUGGGUAGGUUAAGUAGGUGGGUAGGUAAGUAGGUGGGUAGGUUAAAUAGGUGGGUAGGUUAAGUAGGCGGGUA
Molecule: long non-coding RNA, 309 nt
Filed under: Paramuricea clavata
Lineage: Eukaryota; Metazoa; Cnidaria; Anthozoa; Malacalcyonacea; Plexauridae
Source: RNAcentral